AGGCAGCAGUGGGGAAUAUUGCACAAUGGGGGAGACCCUGAUGCAGCCAUGCCGCGUGUGUGAAGAAGGCCUUCGGGGUUGUAAAGCACUUUCAGUAGGGAGGAAGGUAGUGUAGUUAACACCUGCAUUAUUUGACGUUACCUACAGAAGAAGCACCGGCUAACUCCGUGCCAGCAGCCGCGGUAAUACGGAGGGUGCGAGCGUUAAUCGGAAUUACUGGGCGUAAAGCGCAUGCAGGCGGCCUGUUAAGUCAGAUGUGAAAGCCCGGGGCUUAACCUCGGAAUUGCAUUUGAAACUGGCAGGCUAGAGUCUUGUAGAGGGGGGUAGGAAUUUCAGGUGUAGCGGUGAAAUGCGUAGAGAUCUGAAGGAAUACCAGUGGCGAAGGCGGCCCCCUGGACAAAGACUGACGCUCAGAUGCGAAAGCGUGGGGAGCAAACAGGAUUAGAUACCCUGGUAG
Molecule: ribosomal RNA, 457 nt
Filed under: uncultured bacterium
Lineage: Bacteria
Description: bacterial SSU rRNA
Rfam family: Bacterial small subunit ribosomal RNA
Source: RNAcentral